AGAGUUUGAUCCUGGCUCAGAACGAACGCUGGCGGCAGGCCUAACACAUGCAAGUCGAACGGAUCCUUCGGGAUUAGUGGCAGACGGGUGAGUAACGCGUGGGAAGCUACCUUGUGGUAGGGAACAACAGUUGGAAACGACUGCUAAUACCCUAUGAGCCCUAUGGGGGAAAGAUUUAUCGCCAUGAGAUGUGCCCGCGUUAGAUUAGCUAGUUGGUAAGGUAAUGGCUUACCAAGGCGACGAUCUAUAGCUGGUCUGAGAGGAUGAUCAGCCACACUGGGACUGAGACACGGCCCAGACUCCUACGGGAGGCAGCAGUGGGGAAUAUUGGACAAUGGGGGCAACCCUGAUCCAGCCAUGCCGCGUGUGUGAUGACGGCCUUAGGGUUGUAAAGCACUUUCAGCAGUGA
This 409-nucleotide ribosomal RNA is filed under the name alpha proteobacterium P531. Its description in RNAcentral is "bacterial SSU rRNA". It matches the Rfam family "Bacterial small subunit ribosomal RNA", at positions 8 to 445 of the family's 1533-position model. Lineage: Bacteria; Pseudomonadati; Pseudomonadota; Alphaproteobacteria. The record is from RNAcentral.